CAUGGGGUCUUGCUAUGUUGCCUGGGUUGAUCACAAGGCUCAGGCAAUUCUCCUGCCUCAGCCACCCAAAGUACUGGGAUUACAGUGUGAGCCACUGCGCCUGGCCAGGUCAUCCCUAUAAAAUGUAGACUGGAUCACAUCACUCUGCUCAGAACUCUGCAGUGACUUCCAUUUAAAUCAACAGAAGGAGCCAAAAUCCUUAAGAUCAUCUAAAAGGCCCUUCCCAAUCCAGACCCUGCUUUACUUCUCUUUUCACCUUUCCAACAUCUCUUGCUCACUCAUGCUACUCCAGCCACAUUUGCCUCCUUCCUGUUUGUUUCCCAUGUAUGUCCAUACACUCCCGCCAUAGGGCUUUAUUCCAGCUGUUUCUUCUGCUGGAAAGGCCCUUCUCCUGGAAAUCCAUGUGGCCAAAACUAAUCUUCUUCAGUGAUUUGCUUGAAUUUCACUUUACUGAGGUCUCAUUUGGUACUAAAAUCUGUUCUCCUGAUACUUUUAAACUUAAUCUAUAUUUUCUUUUAUCCAUAGCAUCAUCUCCCCUGCUAGAAAUGUAAUCAUAGGUCUUUAUUUUAUUCAGUAGUAACCCAAGAGCCUAGAAGAGUAUUGGGCACAUACUACAUAUUCAAUAAAUUAUGUGUUGAACAGAUGCAUCAAUGAGGCAGACUUAGCUUGCUGAUGGACUGAUUAGGGGCGGAGGAAUAGAGAAAGACGAUGACCUUUCAGUUUUGGCCUAAAUAACUGAAUGACAUGUGGUGCAAUUUCAUGAUGGGGAAGCCUGGAAGAGACACAGGCUUUAGCAGUAAAAACAAGAGCUUCAUUUUGUACAUAUCAGAGAUAUUUAUUAAAGAUCGCAGAGAAGAUGUCCAGUAAACAGUUGAAUUCAUGAGCCUGGAGCUCGGGUCAGAAGUUGGGGGCCAGCGAGAAAACUUUGGGAAUCUUCAUUGGUUAUAGAUGGUAUUUAAAGUCAGGAGGUGAUAGGUGGUAAGUCGAGAUUAAAGACAGUGUCAAAGAUUGAGGCCUGAGGCACUUCAACAUUUAGACUUCAGGAGGAGAAACCCAUUAGACACAAAGGAAACCUGUGGAGAGUAGUGUCCCUGAAGAAAACAGAGGGAGUGAGAGACCAAGUGUAUCACAUGUUAUUGGGAGAGUGAGUAGGAUGGCCCCAGAUCUGUUGACUUUGGCAAGUGUAAAUUCGGGGAGUAGGAACAAAAGUAUAGUGAUUU
Cebus imitator (Panamanian white-faced capuchin) is the source of this 1220-nucleotide long non-coding RNA. RefSeq lists it as uncharacterized. Lineage: Eukaryota; Metazoa; Chordata; Mammalia; Primates; Cebidae. The record is from RefSeq and is a predicted model, not a curated record. The transcript has 2 exons.